AGUGAACGCUGGCGGUAGGCCUAACACAUCCAAGUCGAACGGCAGCACAGUAAGAGCUUGCUCUUACGGGUGGCGAGUGGCGGACGGGUGAGGAAUACAUCGGAAUCUACUUUUUCGUGGGGGAUAACGUAGGGAAACUUACGCUAACACCGCAUACGACCUACGGGUGAAAGCAGGGGAUCUUCGGACCUUGCGCGAUUGAAUGAGCCGAUGUCGGAUUAGCUAGUUGGCGGGGUAAAGGCCCACCAAGGCGACGAUCCGUAGCUGGUCUGAGAGGAUGAUCAGCCACACUGGAACUGAGACACGGUCCAGACUCCUACGGGAGGCAGCAGUGGGGAAUAUUGGACAAUGGGCGCAAGCCUGAUCCAGCCAUACCGCGUGGGUGAAGAAGGCCUUCGGGUUGUAAAGCCCUUUUGUUGGGAAAGAAAAGCAGCAGGUUAAUACCCCGCUGUUCUGACGGUACCCAAAGAAUAAGCACCGGCUAACUUCGU
This 491-nucleotide ribosomal RNA is filed under the name uncultured bacterium. RNAcentral's name for it is "partial 16S ribosomal RNA". It matches the Rfam family "Bacterial small subunit ribosomal RNA", at positions 29 to 506 of the family's 1533-position model. The record is from RNAcentral.